RNAcentral lists this unclassified non-coding RNA (523 nucleotides) under Hevea brasiliensis (rubber tree). The record is from RNAcentral. Lineage: Eukaryota; Viridiplantae; Streptophyta; Magnoliopsida; Malpighiales; Euphorbiaceae.
GAGCAGAUAGACCUCUCUGGUUUGCCUCCAAGCAAAGUCUCUCCUACUUAGAUGGCAGCCUGCCCGGCGACUACGGAUUCGACCCGCUCGGCUUGUCCGACCCAGAAGGUACCGGAGGCUUCAUCGAGCCCAGAUGGCUAGCCUAUGGCGAGAUCUUCAACGGCCGUACCGCCAUGGUCGGCUCUAUCGGAUGCAUCGCCCCAGAAAUCUUGGGCAAACUCGGCCUAAUUCCGCCAGAAACCGCUCUGCCGUGGUUCAAAACAGGCGUGAUCCCGCCCGCUGGGACCUACGACUAUUGGGCUGACCCAUACACUCUUUUUGUUUUCGAAUUGGCACUAGUGGGCUUUGCAGAGCACAGGAGGUUCCAGGCUUGGUACAACCCAGGCUCAAUGAGUAAACAGUACUUUUUGGGCCUGGAGAAAUAUUUGGGCGGGACGGAUAACCCUGCAUACCCUGGUGGGCCACUGUUUAACCCACUUGGGCUUGGAAAGGAUGAGAAGUCAAUGAGGGAUAUGAAGUUGAA